RNAcentral lists this transfer RNA (80 nucleotides) under Asterophora parasitica. It matches the Rfam family "tRNA". Rfam says of the family: Transfer RNA (tRNA) molecules are approximately 80 nucleotides in length. Their secondary structure includes four short double-helical elements and three loops (D, anti-codon, and T loops). Further hydrogen bonds mediate the characteristic L-shaped molecular structure. tRNAs have two regions of fundamental functional importance: the anti-codon, which is responsible for specific mRNA codon recognition, and the 3' end, to which the tRNAs corresponding amino acid is attached (by aminoacyl-tRNA synthetases). tRNAs cope with the degeneracy of the genetic code in two manners: having more than one tRNA (with a specific anti-codon) for a particular amino acid; and 'wobble' base-pairing, i.e. permitting non-standard base-pairing at the 3rd anti-codon position. The record is from Rfam by way of RNAcentral. Lineage: Eukaryota; Fungi; Basidiomycota; Agaricomycetes; Agaricales; Lyophyllaceae.
GGGCUCUUGGCACAGGGGUAGCGCGCACGCUUCGCACUAGUGUAUGCGUGAGGUCGUGGGUUCAAUUCCCACAGUGUCCA